AAGUGGUAGUUUGCGCCCUGGAACCCUGAUCCAGCCAUCCCGCGUGAGUGAUGAAGGCUUUCGGAUUUGUAAAGUACUUGGCAGAGAAGAAGGUACCUCCUAAUACGGGGUACUGCUGACGGUAUCUUAUUAAAGCCGGCUAACUACGUGCCAGCAGCCGCGGUAAUACGUAGGGUGCAAGCGUUAAUCGGAAUUACUGGGCGUAAAGCGUGUGUAGGCGGUUCGGAAAGAAAGAUGUGAAAUCCCAGGGCUCAACCUUGGAACUGCAUUAACUGCCGAGCUUGAGUAUGUCAGAGGGUAGAAUUCCACGUGUAGCAGUGAAAUGCGUAGAUAUGUGGAGGAAUACCGAUGGCGAAGGCAGCCCCCUGGGAUAAUACUGACGCUCAGACACGAAAGCGUGGGGAGCAAACAGGAUUAGAUACCCCGGUAGU
This 431-nucleotide ribosomal RNA is filed under the name Alcaligenes sp. Its description in RNAcentral is "bacterial SSU rRNA". It matches the Rfam family "Bacterial small subunit ribosomal RNA", at positions 354 to 794 of the family's 1533-position model. Lineage: Bacteria; Pseudomonadati; Pseudomonadota; Betaproteobacteria; Burkholderiales; Alcaligenaceae. The record is from RNAcentral.